This is a long non-coding RNA of Zingiber officinale, 548 nucleotides long. RefSeq lists it as uncharacterized. The transcript has 2 exons. Lineage: Eukaryota; Viridiplantae; Streptophyta; Magnoliopsida; Zingiberales; Zingiberaceae. The record is from RefSeq and is a predicted model, not a curated record.
GUUAUGCACCACCGCAUUUACGCUCUCCCAAGCAGCGCCGCACGCUUGACGGACACUACCCUUGUGUGCCCCGCCGUCGCCAAGGAUGAGUUGUCCUUACGAGCAAUCGACACCAGCCAUCUCCUCUCCUCUACCCACUCGCGCUCUUUGCCAUCGCCUCGCCCGGGUGAAGCUUCUGCUUGCGCAUGCCAACAGCCAUGUCUUCGCACAGACAUGUUGGCAUGUCACUUCAAGAUCAAUGAUGUUGCCUACCGUGGUUGCCUUACCACUACUUUGGCCGACCGAACACCACCCUUCUCCCGACCGUGCAAUGUCACCACUGUAAAAUUGUCGGCCUCCAGGAGAGUCGGCACUCUUCUCAUGAAGGCUAGUAGUGAACCACUGCAAUCGCUGUCAGUAUACUGUCGUUGUUGGAGUUGCCACCAAUCACCAACUUAGUCCUGACCCUGUGCCACUGCCGGCAAUUGUGAGUCACCGCCGGAAAAGAAGAGGAUUUGAGCAUGAGGUAAACUGUUGCUUGAAGAUGGUCAGCACGAUCUACAUUAGAG